GAUGAGCGCUGGCGGCGUGCCUAAUACAUGCAAGUCGAGCGAACAGACGAGGAGCUUGCUCCUCUGACGUUAGCGGCGGACGGGUGAGUAACACGUGGAUAACCUACCUAUAAGACUGGGAUAACUUCGGGAAACCGGAGCUAAUACCGGAUAAUAUAUUGAACCGCAUGGUUCAAUAGUGAAAGACGGUCUUGCUGUCACUUAUAGAUGGAUCCGCGCCGCAUUAGCUAGUUGGUAAGGUAACGGCUUACCAAGGCAACGAUGCGUAGCCGACCUGAGAGGGUGAUCGGCCACACUGGAACUGAGACACGGUCCAGACUCCUACGGGAGGCAGCAGUAGGGAAUCUUCCGCAAUGGGCGAAAGCCUGACGGAGCAACGCCGCGUGAGUGAUGAAGGUCUUCGGAUCGUAAAACUCUGUUAUUAGGGAAGAACAAAUGUGUAAGUAACUAUGCACGUCUUGACGGUACUUAAUCAGAAAGCCACGGCUAACUACGUG
RNAcentral lists this ribosomal RNA (497 nucleotides) under uncultured bacterium. Its description in RNAcentral is "partial 16S ribosomal RNA". It matches the Rfam family "Bacterial small subunit ribosomal RNA", at positions 28 to 507 of the family's 1533-position model. The record is from RNAcentral.